UUUUGGAAGUAAACCCGAAUUCACGUUUUGGUCGGUCACCUAUUAUAUACCCUGUAACCGGUAUCCCUAGUGUUCCUUCCUUUCUGCUCCCUAUUAUGACCUUGGUCCCCUGUGGAGUCAGAUUUUCCUGAGUUGAUUUACCUUUUUCAGGUCUUCCUCAAAUGUUUUUGGUUGAUUGAUAUCUCUCACCCUUAUACCAGUCUUA
Molecule: long non-coding RNA, 205 nt
Filed under: Lathyrus oleraceus (garden pea)
Lineage: Eukaryota; Viridiplantae; Streptophyta; Magnoliopsida; Fabales; Fabaceae
Description: Pisum sativum (pea) long non-coding RNA (PSAT_LNC024973)
Source: RNAcentral